AGGUAGGAUUUAGUUACACUUUAGCUGUGAAUUGCUGCUUUGUCAUUGUUACCUCCUAAGAAGAAAACUGUGACCUUCCAGAACCUGUCUGCAGUGUGUACUAGCACCAGGGAUGUUUGGUUUCAGAAAU
Small nucleolar RNA from Jaculus jaculus (lesser Egyptian jerboa), 130 nucleotides. Its record names the gene SNORA63. It matches the Rfam family "Small nucleolar RNA SNORA63". From Rfam's summary of the family: E3 belongs to the H/ACA class of snoRNAs and is involved in the processing of eukaryotic pre-rRNA and has regions of complementarity to 18S rRNA. The record is from Ensembl. Lineage: Eukaryota; Metazoa; Chordata; Mammalia; Rodentia; Dipodidae.